Molecule: long non-coding RNA, 5103 nt
Organism: Pleuronectes platessa (European plaice)
Lineage: Eukaryota; Metazoa; Chordata; Actinopteri; Pleuronectiformes; Pleuronectidae
Exons: 2
Source: RefSeq, a predicted model, not a curated record
CCAAUUAUGUUGGAGCAGAUGAAAACUCACGUUCAAAAUAGGAAAUAAAAGGCUGCCAGACCUUAGAAUAUCUCUUAGUGUUGCCCUGCAAAGUAAAUCUAAGAUGUUCUAAUUUUAGGUGUGCCAUCACCUCCUCUACCCACCGUUUGUGUGUUGGCGGUGCUGCCUUUAUCCAGUUAAAUAAGAUCAGUCUCCUGGCCAACAAUGAAGAGAAUGCUAUUGCUUUCCUUUGAGCAAUCGUUAAUUGUGUUUCCCCUGGUGCCACACCAAAAAUGGCUGUCAGAGGACCGGGCUCUAUAUUUUUGUCGUAGAUGGAUGAGAAGGUUUCAAAAAUUUUGGUCCAAAACUCUUUGAGCCUGGGACAAGACCAGAACAUAUGGCAUAUGUUGGCUGGCACCUGUUUACAUCUAGGGCAAGUCGGAUCAGCUCCCUGGUAAAUUCUUGCCAGUUUGUCCCUCGUGAAAUGAAGUCUGUGUAACACCUUAAACUGUAUUAAUCCAUGUCUAACACAUAUAGAAGAAGAAUGUAUUAGUUCUACUGCCCAUCUCCAUUCAUCGUCCGAUAUGUCCAACUCUAAUUCUUCCUCCCAUUUCCUUUUUAUGUAAUCAAGGGAUGGGGAAGCCACCCUCUGGAUAUUCACAUAAAGCAUAGAAACUGUCCCUUUAAGAGUCGGGUCCAUGUCCAAUAGCCCAUCUAUCCACCCACUCUGUGGUAGUUCAAGGGAUGAGGAGAAUGUCUUUCUCACAAAAUCUCGAAUCUGAAAGUAUCUGAAGUAGUUAGUCCUUAAGGGGAUUCCAUAUUCCUUCUCCAGCUGAGCAGCAGACAUAAAUACACCAUCUUUAAACAGAUUUUUAACACAUUCCACCCCAGCUCUAUACCAUUCCCUAAACGCUGCUCCCCCAAGGGCCGGAGAAAACAAGUGAUUGCCAUAAACGGGAGCAGACAGGAGGGCGUUUCUGUUUUUAAAAUGAGUUCUGAAUUGGACCCAGAUUUUGAUAGAGUCACAACAGGGUUGUUUGUGUAAAGGUGUUUGCUUAAGGGCAGAGGAGCACAGACCAGGGAGCGUAGGGAUACCGGGCUAGAUGCAUAUCUUUCCAUAUGUACCCACACUGGGGUUUCAUCAUCAUUUAACUGUGAGACCCAAAACAACAGCUUAUGUAGGUUAGCAGCCCAAUAAUAAUGCAUAUAAUUUGGUAGGGCGAGGCCCUCCUCUUCUCUCUGCCUCUCUAGGAACUCUCUUCUUAUCCGGGGGACUGUUUUUUUCCAAAUAAAGGUAGAUGUACAUUUAUUCAGUUCUUUAAAAAAAGAUUUAGGAAUGAAAAAUUGGCAUUGCCUGGAAUAAAAACAGGAACCGUGGCAUUACAGUCAUUUGAACAGAAUUUAUCUUCCCUGCUAAUGAUAUUGGGAGAGAUGACCACCUUUCCAUAUCUAAUUUUGCCUUGUCCAAUGUUACUUUAAAGUUAUGAUUAAAUAAGUCUUUGUAUUUACUUGUUACAGUAACACCUAAAUAGGUGAAUUUAUCUUUGUUUGUUGUAAAAGGAUAGGCCUGGAAUGAUAGUCUCCUCGCCUGUUUAUUAAUUGGGAAAAUAACACUUUUUUCUAGGUUAAUUUUAUAACCCGAAACCCUCCCAAAGUCUUCGAUAAUAUCCAGAGCCACCGGGAUGCUUGUGACAGGGUUCGACAGGAAAAGGAGGAGGUCGUCAGCGUAUAGAGAAAGUUUAUGGUUUUGCAUCCCCCUGCGUAUUCCCCCCAGUCCAGCAGCAUUCCUCAGCAUUAUUGCAAGGGGCUCAAUUGCCACAUCAAAGAGCAGGGGUGACAAGGGGCACCCCUGUCUUGUUCCCCGAAACAGAGGAAAAGGAUCAGAUAUUAUACUAUAUAGGAUGGCAUUUCCAGAUUUUCAAAAAAAUCCUUCACUCGCCCCCUGUCAUUUACUUCCGAAGUAUAAAGAUCCUUAUAAAAAGACUUAAAUUGGUUGUUAAUACCUUUCUGAUCUAUAAUCUUAUUCCCCAGGUUAUCCCCUAUCUCCACUAUCAUACCAGCGGCUGCUGACUGCUUCAGCUGGUGACUGAGGAGCUUACCUGCACGCUCACCAUGUUCAUAAAAAUCCUGUCUCGACCUAAGAUAUAGAUCCUCCUCACGCUGAUUUAUUAAGAUAUCAUACUCAGUUUGGAACAAAAUACGUUUUUUGUGUAGCUCCUCAGAGGGAGCCCUAGAAUUUGCCAGGUCAACUUCUUUUAUUGCCUUUGUUAAUUCUGUGGUACGUUUCAUCUUUCUUUUCCUUUCACCAGCAUUGUAUGAAAUUAUUUGUCCUCGAAUAUAAGCUUUUAAGGAUUCCCACAAAAUGGCACUGCUUAUGUCGGGGGUGUCAUUAAGCUCUAAGAAAAAAAACUAUUUGCGAGUUUAUAAAUUUGGUAAAAUUAUCAUCUGCCAAUAGCCUGUUAUUAAGGCGCCACAUUCUCUGAGGUGGCGUGUUUUCUGGAAAGUGAAGUUUCAAUAUGACUGGGCUGUGGUCGGAUAUUACUAUACCAGAGUAUUCUAUACCUGUUACUAUAGGGGUCAGUUUAUUGUCUAAUAAGAAGUAGUCAAUCCUAGUAUACGUCCGAUGUGGUGGGGAAUAAAAAGAGUACUGCCUGGAGGUUGGGUUUACGUAUCUCCAUGGAUCAAAUAUACCAUAUACCUUACAGAAGGAGUUAAUGCAUUGCGCUGAUUUGCUCAGUACACUGGGUGUUGGACUAGAGCGGUCCAGAGUUGAAUCUAGGACACAAUUCAAGUCUCCCCCUAGGAUCAGAUUAUGAGUAUCCAAAUUUGGUAAUAAUGAGAAUAGGUCCUUAAAAAAUUGAACAUUAUCCCAAUUGGGUGCAUAUAUGUUUGCCAGAACCACUGGCAUAUUGAAUAAUUUUCCAACUACAAUAACAUACCGACCAUGUUUAUCUUUUAUAGUGGUUGUUUCUACAAAUUGUACAUUCCUGUGUAUGAGGAUGGCCACUCCCCGACCCCUACUAUUGAAAUCCGAGUGAUAAACCUGAUAAAAUCCCCCCCUACAGAGCUUGAGGUGGUCCCUGUUCAACAAAUGUGUCUCCUGUAGAUAUACUAUCUCUACUCGCAGGUCUCUCAAAUGUGAAAAUACCUUACUCCGUUUAGCUGGAUUAUUGAUCGCCCUUACAUUCCAGCUCAUCAGUUUUGUGGCCAUUCUGCUCGGAUCCAUGUUUGGUGCCAUGUCAGAAGACUGUGGCCUUUGGCAACAAAAGCAAAAAAGUUAAAAGGAGGGGGUCUGGAAAGGAAGGGGGGGGGCAUUACACACGCAGACACAGCCAAUACAUAACACAUAACAUAUAUAAACACUAACCCAAAUAUAAUGCUCUUUAGUGAGCUCUCUCGUGGCCAACCGGUCCACCAUCUCCUGCACACCAAGCCUACCGUGUGCAGCUCUGUGUAUAUCGCUCUUAGUCUGAAAAGUAUAACAUCAACCUUUUAACUUAUUCACCUCAUUUUUCCGUUUGUCCAUCCUAUCAGCCAGACUUCUAAUUUUAUCAGCAACCAGCUUCACCUCCUCGCGUAGCAACUCAGAUUGGGCUCUCGUGCUCUCUUCCAAACUUUUGGUCCAUUUUUCCAACUCGGUUGUCAUCUUUUUUCUUCCUUUUUCUAUCUCUUCCUUACACUUUGCGAUCUCAGUCUUUCUCUCCUCUCUGUAUUUCGUAACCGCAACGUUGGCUUUUUUAAUCUCGGACAUCAUGUCCUGAGCCCACUGAGGUAUGCUGUCGGCUUGUGAUGGGCUAACACUGUCCCUGCUAGCUAAGGAGGCUACGCCGCUAGCCACCUGCUGCUUCUCUCCACCCGUUCGACUCGUUCGAGUCGUCAUUUUUCGGUCUAAAAAUGUACUGAAAGCGCACUUGCUAGUACCCGAACAAAACAGUAUUCGUUCACUCGCCCAAACUGAUAACAGUAUGGCGAUAUUAAUAUUUUUUGACAACUUUUACACGGAGCCUCCACACGCACGUCUUCACACGGCAAAGCACAUCCGGAAUUCACUGUCUUCUUCAAAUGUCUUCAAACACUAGUUUCAGUGUUAUGAAGUUCAUUUUGUCAAAUGUUGUGUUUGUUGUUGUUUUCGAUCCAGGAUGAAGAAAACUCUGAGCUUGAAAUCAGAAGUGAAUGAAGCUGUGGAGAUGAUAGAGUCAGACAACUGUCCUGAGUAUGAGAACGUUGCUGCUGCAGCACAGACAGAAGACACAGAGGAGCAGGAAGACCUGGUGUGAAGCAUCAGGUCAGAGCCACUGGGACAAACAGAACCAAGAUGGACGACUUCAGAGAACAUCCGUACAAGCUAGUUUUACUGAAACCAUAGUGUGUAAUUAUUAAAUACAGGAAAUCUGUCCAAGCAGCAAAAUAUCUGAGUGCAAGCGCAGAGUUUGAGCACAAGCAGAGCAAAUCUAAGCACCAGCAGGAGCUGUGUGAGUGCAAGCGCAGGGUUUUGAGUAAAAACACCACGAAAUCUGAACGUGCAAGUCUAGCUCUCAAACUAAAAGACCACACUUUUUAAUGAAGAGGAAAACACCCGUACAUUUCCUUUCUACUCAUGGUUUCCUGUUUACUUUUCUCCUCAGGUGCACUGUGAUUGGUUGAUGAAAGUAUUAAGGAGGGAACAGGAAGUAUCUCUCUUUCCAUCCCCGGUUGCAGCAGCAGUUUGUACAGCAUGACCUUUAGAGCAAGAGUAUUGUUGUGUUGUGUCUUUUCUUUUUCUUUUCUGAUGGGUCCAGUUGUCCAGUUUUCGCAACUUUAUUUCUGUGAGCUUUAGUUUUGAUGUUGGUUUAGGUUGAAGGAAGAUUCUCAGGUCCUACGACCCUUUGUGGGUUGGUGUGUUGGGUUUUCCUUCUUCUGCCCAUUUUGCUGGCCUGUUGUUGAAGUUAUUGUCUUUUCUUCAAUAAAUAUAUUUUUUUUUUUGCUGUUACCCGACGAUGAGCCUGUGAGGCUGUGGUAACACGACGUGACUCAUCUCCUGUCUUAUACAUGAUUUUAAUGUGGUUAUUACAUGGAUAAUGAAUUAUUAUGUAUCGUGAUUUUAUGAUUCUUUCUUAAAUAAAUGUUUUGGUUCUUUUGUUUUCA